Molecule: ribosomal RNA, 253 nt
Filed under: uncultured bacterium
Lineage: Bacteria
Description: partial 16S ribosomal RNA
Rfam family: Bacterial small subunit ribosomal RNA
Source: RNAcentral
UACGGGGGGGGCAAGCGUUGUUCGGAAUUACUGGGCGUAAAGGGCUCGUAGGUGGCCAACUAAGUCGGACGUGAAAUCCCUCAGCUUAACUGGGGAACUGCGUCCGAUACUGGAUGGCUCGAGUUUGGGAGAGGGAUGCGGAAUUCCAGGUGUAGCGGUGAAAUGCGUAGAUAUCUGGAGGAACACCGGUGGCGAAGGCGGCGUUCUGGACUGUCUCUGACACUGAAGAACGAAAGCCAGGGGAGCAAACGGG